This 420-nucleotide long non-coding RNA is filed under the name Apteryx owenii (little spotted kiwi). RNAcentral's name for it is "lncRNA (ENSAOWG00000008589.1)". Lineage: Eukaryota; Metazoa; Chordata; Aves; Apterygiformes; Apterygidae. The record is from RNAcentral.
AUGGAGGAAUGCUUUGUCCACAUGAAGUGUCAAGAUUCUUAUGAGAAAUCAAUUCUCCUGUUUUCACACAGAUUGGAGUCCUUAUUAGCAGUGUCUUGUAGUAAGCAGAUGCUGAACACAGAAACUACUUGCGGAGACUGCCUGCUACUGCUUACCAAGUAUUUUCUUCUGGUCAGAAGGAAUCUGCAAGUUGUUAAAGCUUCAUCUGGCACUUUUAACCCAUGCAAAUAAAUACAGAAAGUGGAUGAACAUAGCUCAGUUUUAUGAACUCUUCAAGUUAACGUAAACAAUGUGUAGAAGUCACUGUGGAUAAGUCACUGAAUGAUUAAUCCAACUAAGUAUCACAUUGCUCUGUUGUGGAUAAAAUGGAUAUCUUGCUGUUGGCUAAUAAAGAAAAUCCAUUAAUAUUUCCUUACUUCA